GGGGUAGUAAAGGUUUCGACAGGGGCUUUGCAGCUGGAGAAGCUAUCCGGUGCGAUCCGUUAAUCGCAAACUUAAAUAUAAACGCUGACGAAAAUCAGUACGCAUUUGCAGCCUAAGCUGUAAAUGACGCCGCUUAUGCGGCUCGUCUGUCCCGGUGCACUCACACAUCGGGGUACAGGCGUCAAAGAUGUGAGAAACGACUUGCGUUAAGCUUUGCGCGCAUGGGCGUAUUAUGAAGCUACCUUCUUAUAGGCUUUGUCUGUGGGACUUAUAGGAAGGGAAACGGAGCAAUCCAAAACCACCGACUGUGAUAGAAGAAGUACAGGGAAUGGGUCUUUGGACACGGGUUCGACUCCCGUCUACUCCACU
Molecule: transfer-messenger RNA, 369 nt
Filed under: bovine gut metagenome
Rfam family: transfer-messenger RNA
About the family: Bacterial tmRNA, also known as 10Sa RNA or SsrA, is named for its dual tRNA and mRNA-like properties. Its role is to liberate the mRNA from a stalled ribosome. To accomplish this part of the tmRNA is used as a reading frame that ends in a translation stop signal.
Source: RNAcentral